Alosa sapidissima (American shad) is the source of this 89-nucleotide small nucleolar RNA. The record is from RefSeq and is a predicted model, not a curated record. Lineage: Eukaryota; Metazoa; Chordata; Actinopteri; Clupeiformes; Clupeidae.
GGCCUUCAAUGAUGUCUUGCACUGGGCUCUGAAUGACUGUGGGGAUAACGUGCUGCUCCGCUCUUGACAUGGCGGAGCCUGAGGUGGCU